Molecule: long non-coding RNA, 380 nt
Organism: Zootermopsis nevadensis
Lineage: Eukaryota; Metazoa; Arthropoda; Insecta; Blattodea; Termopsidae
Source: RefSeq, a predicted model, not a curated record
AUCAAAGACAAACUGACCACAAACCAAUACGUCCCUCGCUCUCAUUUUCAAGGCCGCAGAAAUGAAGAUUUUCGUAUGCUUUGUCCUUCUGUGCUGCUUUAUGUCGGUAAUGCUGGAGCCGCAAUUUACUACACAUCACACGGAAAUUGACGGCACCUAUGACUGUCUGCAGGAGAAUCCUCCCGAUUACGGAGAGUGCCACAAAGAGUGUUCGAGACGGAAAUAUACUGUCGGUGGGUGCAGCGAAGGGAAAUGUUUUUGCCUUUUAAUCGGUUAAAAAGUGUCGGUGUGAAAUUAAAACAAUUUGUCGGCCGAAUUCUGUGAAGUUAAUUUGUGUAUGUUGACAAAUAAAAGCAUAGAAGCGAAUACAAAUACAUUAA